UACAGAGGUGGCAAGCGUUGCUCGGUAUCACUGGGCUUAAAGGGCGCGUAGGCGGUGCGGUGCGGUUUCGGUGAAAUCCCUCGGCCCAACCGAGGAACAGCCGGGGCUACGGCCGUGCUAGACGGCAUCAGGGGACAGUGGAACUCCCGGUGGAGCGGUGAAAUGCGUAGAUAUCGGAAGGAACAUCAGUGGCGAAAGCGGCUUCCUGGACCAGUACCGACGUUCAGGCACGAAAGCGUGGGGAGCAAACAGG
RNAcentral lists this ribosomal RNA (253 nucleotides) under uncultured prokaryote. RNAcentral's name for it is "partial 16S ribosomal RNA". It matches the Rfam family "Bacterial small subunit ribosomal RNA", at positions 524 to 776 of the family's 1533-position model. The record is from RNAcentral.